UUCGAUUCUGGCUCAGAUUGAACGCUGGCGGGAUGUACUUUACACAUGCAAGUCGAACGGCAGCACGGACUUCGGUCUGGUGGCGAGUGGCGAACGGGUGAGUAAUGUAUCGGAACGUGCCUAGUAGCGGGAUAACUACGCGAAAGCGCAGCUAAUACCACAUACGCCCUUCGGGAAAGCGGGGGACCUUCGGGCCUCGCACUAUUAGAGCGGCCGAUAUCGGAUUAGCUAGUUGGUGGGGUAACGGCUCACCAAGGCGACGAUCCGUAGCUGGUUUGAGAGAGGACGACCAGCCACACUGGGACUGAGACA
This 312-nucleotide unclassified non-coding RNA is filed under the name uncultured Bordetella sp. Its description in RNAcentral is "partial 16S-23S ribosomal RNA intergenic spacer". It matches the Rfam family "Bacterial small subunit ribosomal RNA", at positions 12 to 326 of the family's 1533-position model. Lineage: Bacteria; Pseudomonadati; Pseudomonadota; Betaproteobacteria; Burkholderiales; Alcaligenaceae. The record is from RNAcentral.